GUUUGACUUAACCGACGACGAGAACAUGUGGCCCCUUGUUUCAUCGUUGCCAUCAGCGUUUUAUCGAGUGGCCAUGGAUCAAAUUGUCGUCCAGAGGUGCCUGGCGUCGAGAACACUUGCUAGUGCACAAAGGACUGUGCUCACGGGGUCCGUCCUGCUUGUUGCGGCAUAUACCGUCGAACUCCUGAUGGCAUUGUCCUUGGUACUCUGGUUUCGAGGUUGCGACCCCCAACUCUCAGGAGCUAUCAAGAGUACUGAUCAGGCAAGGACGCACGAUCGUCAUAUGAUGCGCUGUACUGCCCUACUAUAUUAAGACGCACCUGAUGCAGUUCCCAGGAUUUACCGGCCUUUUCCUCGCUGCAGUUGUAAGCGCCGGAGCCAGCACAAUAUCCUCAUCAAUCAACUCCAUGACAGCUCUUCUACAUGUGGACGUGCUCCCUUAUUUCUUCAAGAGUGCCGGUUCUGACGUCCCAUUUAGAACACAGGGACUAGCGCUCCUUCUCGGUGCCGUCAUGACAAUGUACAGUUGCAUUUGUGUUUACCUGGGAUCCAUCAC
Long non-coding RNA from Dermacentor andersoni, 556 nucleotides. RefSeq lists it as uncharacterized. Lineage: Eukaryota; Metazoa; Arthropoda; Arachnida; Ixodida; Ixodidae. The record is from RefSeq and is a predicted model, not a curated record.